Molecule: ribosomal RNA, 33 nt
Filed under: Bolbocoleon piliferum
Lineage: Eukaryota; Viridiplantae; Chlorophyta; Ulvophyceae; Ulvales; Bolbocoleonaceae
Description: partial 28S large subunit ribosomal RNA
Source: RNAcentral
CGACCUGAGUUCAGGCAAGGCUACCCGCUGAAC